CGGCUGUUUUUAUUGAACGUUAUCCUCGACCAAAGUAGACUAAUGGAAACCUAGGAGAGAGAAUGUGACAUACGAAAUGUUGAUGUUCAUUCAUGGUGAUAGUUGAGAUAAAAGAGGCGAGUGUAGAGGUGGAUCGAGAACAAAGGGUCGCAGAAUCCGGCAACCCGUGAUGAUCACUUUUCCGGCCUUGUUACCAGAAGGGGGAUGUUGCUGUAUGGUCUCCGAGCAAGUUAGGUGGGUCUCCGUGUUGGUAACCCGGAAACGUGGUCGAUAUCUUUGUAUUUGAUGACUGGCUGUUAGUAAUGGAUCUAGGCAACCGCAUAUGAAAGGGCUGCAUACUGGAUUAAAUGGAAAUUUUUUUUUUAUUGAUUGUGUUGUUUAAUUGAUUGAUUGGUUGAUGUUGCUUUACUUGUUUGAUACCCUUGAACCCUAUUUUGUCCUAGGGUUUAUCAGCUACAAACCCUUUACUCCUCUUUGUUCAUAUUCAAUUGUAGAUUAACUAAUUGUGGAACUUACAAUGUGUAGAUAUCAUUCUAUUGGGAGAAAUGUCUGUAGUUUAAUAUGAUAUUGUUGCUGAAUUUCACAAUUGAUGUUUAUUUUGUUGUCGAA
Chenopodium quinoa (quinoa) is the source of this 609-nucleotide long non-coding RNA. RefSeq lists it as uncharacterized. The transcript is spliced from 2 exons. The record is from RefSeq and is a predicted model, not a curated record. Lineage: Eukaryota; Viridiplantae; Streptophyta; Magnoliopsida; Caryophyllales; Amaranthaceae.